UACGUAGGGUGCGAGCGUUAAUCGGAAUUACUGGGCGUAAAGGGCAGGCAGGCGGAUCCAUAAGUUUAUCGUUUAAGGCGUCGGCUUAACCGGCGUAGGGCGGUAGAUACUGUGGAUCUGGAAUGCGGUUGGGGAAGACAGAAUUCCUGGUGUAGCGGUGGAAUGCGCAGAGAUCAGGAGGAAUACCGAAGGCGAAGGCAGUCUUCCAAGCCGUUAUUGACGCUCAACUGCGAAGGUGUGGGUAUCAAACAGGAUUAGAUACCCGUGUAGUCCCU
RNAcentral lists this ribosomal RNA (275 nucleotides) under uncultured prokaryote. RNAcentral describes it as "partial 16S ribosomal RNA". It matches the Rfam family "Bacterial small subunit ribosomal RNA", at positions 524 to 798 of the family's 1533-position model. The record is from RNAcentral.